UCAUUACAAGAUGGUGUUCUUAGU
This 24-nucleotide non-coding RNA is filed under the name Mus musculus (house mouse). Lineage: Eukaryota; Metazoa; Chordata; Mammalia; Rodentia; Muridae. The record is from RNAcentral.